CUAUUAUAUUUUACUAUAUUUGUGCUGAUUGUUGCACUAUUUGCUUCUGCACUAUCUUAAUUAACAGUUAAUAAUCAGCUAUGAAACAUAACAAGCGGCAACACUUCUCAUUUCCGUUAAAAUGACAGAAAUCAGCAGUUCUUGGAAGAACGCUGUCGAACCAUCCAGGUUGUUUGCACCUUUUGUGCGAUAUAAAACUAAAGCUGACGCUGACGAGAAUUCAUUUUCUGUUGAACAACAGCUUAAUACCUAGAAUCGUGAAUAAUAUAGCAGAUCGAGAAUUAAUGCUUAAAGCUGUAUAGAAACAUCUCAACUAAUGUAUGAUAAUCAAUAUUUGAAUAAAUCAGUUUGAAAUUUUAUGAUUAUUAAAAUAUAUUGUUUUAACUCAAUA
Bombyx mori (domestic silkworm) is the source of this 391-nucleotide long non-coding RNA. RefSeq lists it as uncharacterized. Lineage: Eukaryota; Metazoa; Arthropoda; Insecta; Lepidoptera; Bombycidae. The transcript has 2 exons. The record is from RefSeq and is a predicted model, not a curated record.